AGGAAAUGAAAAUUUAAUAAGGAAAAAGAAAUCAAAUAAGGAAACAGAAACAGAAUAAGGAAAAAGAAACCGAAUAAGGAAAUAGAAACCGAAUAAGGAAAUAGAAACCGAAUAAGGAAACAGAAAUCGAAUAAGGAAAUGGAAAUCCAAUAAGGAAAUGAAAAUCCAAUAAGGAAAAAGAAACCGAAUAAGGGAAUAGAAACCGAAAAAGGAAAUGAAUAUUGAAAAAGGAAAAAGAAACCGAAUAAGGAAAUGAAAAUCGAAUCAGGAAAUGGAAUUCGAAUAAGGAAAUAGACAUCGAAUAAGGAAAUGAAAAUCGAGUCAGGAAAAAGAAACCGAAUAAGGAAAUGAUAAUCGAAAAAGGAAAAAGAAAACGAAUAAGGAAACGAAAAAAAAAUAAGGAAAUGAAAAUCGAAUAAGGAAAUAGGAACUGUAUAAGGAAAUGAAAUCGAAUAAGGAAAAAUAAACCGAAUAAGGAAACGAAAAAAAAAAAAAUUGAAAAACUUUUUGAGGAAAAAAAAUUUGAGGAAAAAAAAAAUUUGAGGAAAAAAAAUUUU
RNAcentral lists this long non-coding RNA (557 nucleotides) under Mytilus galloprovincialis (Mediterranean mussel). Lineage: Eukaryota; Metazoa; Mollusca; Bivalvia; Mytilida; Mytilidae. The record is from RNAcentral.